AUUUUGUUUGGAGAGUUUGAUCCUGGUUCAGGACGAACGCGGGCGGGGUGCUUAACACAUGCAAGUCGAACGGAAAGGCCCUUCGGGGUACUCGAGUGGCGAACGGGUGAGUAACACGUGGGUGAUCUGCCCUGCACUCUGGGAUAAGCCUGGGAAACUGGGUCUAAUACCGGAUAGGACCACACACUUCAUGGUGAGUGGUGCAAAGCUUUUGCGGUGUGGGAU
This 225-nucleotide ribosomal RNA is filed under the name Mycobacteroides chelonae. RNAcentral's name for it is "partial 16S ribosomal RNA". It matches the Rfam family "Bacterial small subunit ribosomal RNA", at positions 1 to 226 of the family's 1533-position model. Lineage: Bacteria; Bacillati; Actinomycetota; Actinomycetes; Mycobacteriales; Mycobacteriaceae. The record is from RNAcentral.